This 386-nucleotide ribosomal RNA is filed under the name uncultured Prorocentrum. RNAcentral's name for it is "partial small subunit ribosomal RNA". It matches the Rfam family "Eukaryotic small subunit ribosomal RNA", at positions 30 to 432 of the family's 1831-position model. Lineage: Eukaryota; Dinophyceae; Prorocentrales; Prorocentraceae. The record is from RNAcentral.
GCUUGUCUCAAAGAUUAAGCCAUGCAUGUCUAAGUAUAAGCCUUUACACGGUGAGACUGCGAAUGGCUCAUUAAAUCAGAAACUGUUUAUUUGAUAGUGCCUACUACUUGGAUAACCGUAGUAAUUCUAGAGCUAAUACAUGCGUCAGAACCCAACUUUACGGAAGGGUCGUGUUUAUUAGAUACAAAACCAACAUCUCGUUGGUGAUUCAUAAUAACCAAGCGAAUCGUCGGUUUACCGACGAUAGAUCGUUCAAGUUUCUGACCUAUCAGCUUUGGUCGGUAGGGUAUUGGCCUACCGAGGCAAUGACGGGUAACGGAGAAUUAGGGUUCGAUUCCGGAGAGGGAGCCUGAGAAACGGCUACCACAUCUAAGGAAGGCAGCAGG